UUAAGUUCAGCGGGUAUCCCUACCUGAUCCGAGGUCAACCUGAAAAAAAGGUUUAACGGCGCGCGCCGUCUGUCCGACAAGCGAAUUGAUAAUUCACAACGCUCGGAGACAAGACGACUCGGCCGGCGACAUUAGGGCGCGCGGUGGACGCGGCGCCCAAUACCAAGCCAGGCUUGAGUGGUGUAAUGACGCUCGAACAG
Molecule: unclassified non-coding RNA, 200 nt
Filed under: Capnodiales sp.
Lineage: Eukaryota; Fungi; Ascomycota; Dothideomycetes; Capnodiales
Description: partial internal transcribed spacer 2
Source: RNAcentral